UUGGUUAAGUCAGGCAACGAGCGAGAUCCGCACCUUUAUUUGCCACCAAGAAGUCACGACUUCGUUGGGAACACUAAAGGGACCGCCGUCGAUGAGACGGAGGAAGGAGCGGGCAAAGGCAGGUCAGUAUGCCCCGAAACCCCUGGGCUACACGCGGGCUGCAAUGGUAUGAACAAUGGGCUGUGACUCCGAAAGGAGAAACCAAUCCCGAAAUCAUAUCUCAGUUGGAAUUGUCGGCUGUAACCCGCCGACAUGAACGCGGAAUCCCUAGUAAUCGUGUGUCAUCAACGCACGGUGAAUACGUCCCUGCUCCUUGCACA
Molecule: ribosomal RNA, 320 nt
Filed under: uncultured archaeon
Lineage: Archaea
Description: bacterial SSU rRNA
Rfam family: Archaeal small subunit ribosomal RNA
Source: RNAcentral